Mustela lutreola (European mink) is the source of this 2182-nucleotide long non-coding RNA. RefSeq lists it as uncharacterized. The record is from RefSeq and is a predicted model, not a curated record. The transcript has 6 exons. NCBI's taxonomy places the organism in Eukaryota, Metazoa, Chordata, Mammalia, Carnivora, Mustelidae.
UGUUCGCACAGAGGUUGAACUGGUCUCUGGCACUGAUGUUGAGCUGGUUGUUGGCACAGAGGUUGAACUGGUUUCAGACACAGGUCUUGGGCUGGUUGUUGGCACAGGGGUUGAGCUAGUCUCUGGCACCGUGGUUGGGCUGGUUGUUGGCACAGAGGUUGAACUGGUCUCUGGCACAGAUCUUGGGCUGGUUGUUGGCACAGAGGUUGAGCUGGUCUCUGGCACUGAGGUUGGGCUGGUUGCUGGCACUGAUGUUGGGCUGGUUGCUGGCACAGGGGUUGAGCUGGUCUCUGGCACUGAGGUUGGGCUGGUUGUUGGCACAGGGGUUGAGCUGGUCUCUGGCACAGGUCUUGGGCUGGUUGUUGGCACAGGGGUUGAGCUGGUCUCUGGCACUGAGGUUGGGCUGCUUGUUGGCACAGAGGUUGAGUGGGAAGUCACCAGGUGGACAGUGGUCUCAGUUAGGCUGGUGGGGCUCAUACUUGGGGUGUGAGGGACUGUGACAGUUUUGUGCGUCGUGCAGUGCUCUGGGGGCUCACAGCACAACACCCGGACCUCAUAGUUGAGGCACAUCCCGACAUUGCCUCCCUGGUCCCGGUUCCGGCACACCAGGCCCUUGCUGAGGUCGCACUGCACCACCUGGCCCAGCUUCUCGAUGCUGACCUCGGGGUGGCUCUCGGCCCGGCACUCCAGCCGCGAGAUGUAUUCAGGCUGGCGGCAGAUUUUCUCUCCUCUUCUCAUGAUGUUGCUGAAGCUUUCCACGUCUCCUCCGUGGGGUCCCGGGGACGGGAAGUCCACGUCGAACCACUUGGUCCACGUGCACCUUGGCUGGCAGGUGACAGUCACAGGAGGGGAGUGGGUUGCUUCAGGUGUGUAGAAGGGAGUGGUGCUGGCUGUAGGAGCAGACGUUGUGCCAGUUGGUGGCACGGAGGUUGGGCUGGUCUGUGACACAGUGGUUGCACUGGUUGUUGGCAUCGAGGUUGGGCUGCUUCCUGGCACGGUGGUUGAGCUUGUUUCUGGCACUGAUUUUGGGCUGGUUGCUGGCACAGGGGUUGAGCUGGUCUCUGGCACUGAGGUUGGACUGGUUGUUGGCACAGAGGUUGAGCUGGUCUCUGGCACUGAGGUUGGGCUGGUUGUUGGCACAGAGGUUGAACUGGUCUCUGGCACAGAUCUUGGGCUGGUUGUUGGCACAGAGGUUGAGCUGGUCUCUGGCACUGAGGUUGGGCUGGUUGUUGGCACAGAGGUUGAACUGGUCUCUGGCACAGAUCUUGGGUUGGUUGUUGGCACAGGGGUUGAGCUGGUCUCUGGCACCUUGGUUAGGCUGCUUGUUGGCACAGAGGUGGAGUGGGAAGUCACCAGGUGGACGGUUGUCUCAGUUAGGCUGGUGGGGCUCAUACUUGGGGUGUGAGGGACUGUGACAGUUUUGUGCGUCGUGCAGUGCUCUGGGGGCUCACAGCACAACACCCGGACCUCAUAGUUGAGGCACAUCCCGACAUUGCCUCCCUGGUCCCGGUUCCGGCACACCAGGCCCUUGCUGAGGUCGCACUGCACCACCUGGCCCAGCUUCUCGAUGCUGACCUCGGGGUGGCUCUCAGCCCGGCACUCCAGCCGCGAGAUGUAUUCGGGCCGGCGGCAGAUUUUCUCUCCCCUUCUCAUGAUGUUGCUGAAGCUUUCCACGUCUCCUCCGUGGGGUCCCGGGGACGGGAAGUCCACGUCAAACCACUUGGUCCACAUGCACCUUGGCUGGCAGGUGACAGUCACAGGAGGAGAGUGGGUUGCUUCAGGUGUGUGGACGGGGGUGGUGCUGGCUGUACGAGCAGACGUUGUGCCAGUUGGUGGCACGGAUGUUGGGCUGGUCCAUGACACAGUGGUUGAGCUGGUUGUUGGCACCGAGGUUGGGCUGCUUGCUGGCACGGUGGUUGAGCUUGUUUCUGGCACUGAUGUUGGGCUGGUUGCUGGCACAGGGGUUGAGCUGGUCUCUGGCACUGAGGUUGGACUGGUUGUUGGCACAGAGGUUGAGCUGGUCUCUGGCACUGAGGUUGGGCUGGUUGUUGGCACAGAGGUGGAGUGGGAAGUCACCAGGUGGACGGUUGUCUCAGUUAGGCUGGUGGGGCUCAUACUUGGGGUGUGAGGGACUGUGACAGUUUUGUGCGUCGUGCAGUGCUCUGGGGGCUCACAGCACAAC